UCAUCCUCGUUGAGCUUCAUUCUUUGGGCAAAGAAAACAUCGUCAAAUGGGUCCUCGUCAUCAUUAGUUUUGAUAAAGAUAACAGAAAUCAUAGGUAUUCAUCCUCAUAAGGAGAAGCUUAUCAUCUCCCCCCCCCCCAAGUGAGACGAUUGUGGGACAUGAAAUGAUCCCACCCUUCUCCUCCCAUCUGGGUCAUCCUAUAGGAGAUAUGCCUAGAGGAAAUAAUAAUAGUUACACCCUCCAUUCCAGAAUAUAAGGAGUACUGGUUUCCGUGCAUGUCAAACUUAUGUAUGUUUAACAAAUAUUAUAGAAUAAAAUUUCAACAUCUAUGGUGUCUACUACACAACUUUAUUCUUGCAGACUAUGUUGGCCCUCCAAGCACAGAGUUUUGUAGGAUAGUGGAAAAUUUCCUCAAGUGCAUGACCUAAGGUUUAUCAAUCCGCGAGAGGUGUAGGAUGAAGGUGUCAAACAACCCUGCAAUCAAAUGCAAGAAAUUGCUUGUGUCCCCAACACACCAAAUACAAUGGCAAAUUGUAUAGGUGCACUAGUUCGGCAAAGAGAUGGUGAUACAAGUGUAAUAUGGAUAGUAGAUAAAGGUUUUUGUAAUAUGAAAUAAUAAUAAAAACAUAAAAAGUGAUAAAAGUGAUCAAAACGGUAUUGCAAUGCUUGUAAACAAGGCCUAGGGUUCAUACUUUCACUAGUGCAAUCUCUUAAUAGUGCUAACAUAAUUGUAUCAUAUAACCAUGCCUUAACAUGCGCUAAAGAAUCUCUCCAAAGUUCUUAUCAAUAAUGAAGAACAUAAUACGAAAUUGUUGUAGGUUGCAAACCACCUCAGAGUUAUCCUUUUCGAUCGAUCUAUGGAGCCAUACCUAUAAGUGUCACAAACAUCCCUAGAGUUCGAACUACAAUAACACCAUAUGAUAUGCAUCAAUCAACUCUAAUGUCACCUAGAUACUCCAAUGCCACCACAACUAUCCGUGGGUUAAUUAUUUGACAUGCAUCAAACAAUUUAAGAUUUGUAAUAUUCAAUCCAACACCAAGAACUUCAAAGAGUACCCUGAAAGUUUCUGUCGGAGAAAGUAAGGAGAAAACGUGUAUCAACCUAUGUGCCUAGAUUACCCCAUUGUCACCUUGGGAAUCUGCAAGUUGAUUACCAAAACAUACAUCAAGUAACUCAAUAAUAUACCCCAUUGUCACCACAUGUAUCCACAUGCAAGAUAUACAUCAAGUGUUCUCAAAUCCAAAAUGUUCAAUCCGAUAAUAAUGAAACCUCAAAGGGAAAGACUCAAUUCAUCACAAGGACAUAGAGAGGGAAGAACAACAUAUGAUCCAACUAUAUUAACAAAGCUCGUGGUACAUCAAGAUCGUGUCAAAUCAAGAAAAGAGAGAGAGAGAGAGAGAGAGAGAGAGAGAGAGAGAUCAAACACAUGGAUACUGGUACAUACCCACGGCCCCGAGGGUGAACUACUCCCUCCUCGUCACAGAGGCUGUUGGGAUGAUGAAGAUGGCCGUCGGUGAUGAUUUCCCUCUCAAGUAGAGCACUAAAAAAGGGCUCCACACGAGAUAGCUUUGGAACAUAGGAUUGUGGAGGCGGGGUAAAAGUUUUAGGUUUCUUUCUAGGGGUUUUGUUAUUAAUUUCAUGCGAUGGGGAUACCCGGGGGAGCCACGAGCGCUGCAAGCCCGCCCUUGAGCUCGUGGCUCCCCUGGACUUCGUUUGGUCCACCUCCAAGGAUUUGUGGGUCUCUUUUUGUCCCUAAAAAAUCACCGUAAAGUUUCAUGACAAUUUUACUUCAUUUGUUCUGGAUUUUUUGUGAAACAAAUAAUAGCCAAAAAGCCGAAACUCGCACUCGACACUAGGUCAAUAGGUUAGUUCAUCAAAAUCAUAUAAAAGUGUACCAAAACCAUAUAAAUCAUUGUACAAAUGGCAUGAAUACUUCAUAAAUUAUAUAUGUGUUGGAGACGUAUCAAUCUAAAAUAUAAAAUAAAUAAAAUAUGAAAAUACUCUCCAUGAUGGAUAUAAUGAUACAAUUAUUGUGAUGUUGAUGUCCAUAGUAUUUUCCUAAAAAACUUGGUCCAACAAGCAGACUUUGAAGAAAACGGACACACAUUAUAUUUUCGAAUGGAGUGUUGGAGAACGUUGCAUGGGAAACAAAAAAAAUCCUACGAACACCCAAGAUAUAUUUGUAGACCGUUAAGCGAAAGUGUAUAUUACACAAUUGAUGUAGUCGUACUCUUCAUGAUCCAAUUGCAAUCCAAUCCAAUCUAGCGCCGAACGGAUGGCACCUCCGUAUUCAGCACAUGUGCGGCUCGAUGACGUCUUCUCCUUCUUGAUCCAUCAAGCAAGGGAGAAGUAUAUGGGAUCACAACUAGCACGCCGGCGUGGUGGUUAUGGUGGUGGCGUGGGUUUCGGCACGACUUUACUAAGCACUACUGAAAACCCGAUCUACGAAGGAACGGGAUCUCAUCCGGGACUCCGAACAACAUUCAGUCACCAACGUGAAUAUCUCUAUACUACUCUUGCGUCACCGAACGUUAAGCGUGCGGACCCUACGGGUCCGAGAAUCGUGUGGACAUGACCGAGAUACCUCUCCGAUCAAUAACCAAUAGUGGGACCUAAAUGCCCAUAUUGGUUCCCACAUAUUCCACAAAGAUCACUACCGGUCGAACCAUGAUGUCAAGGAUUCAGUUAAUCCCGUAUUCAGUUCCUUUGUCCAGCGGUAUGCUACUUGCCCAAGAUUCGAUCAUCGGUAUCUCCAUACCUAGUUCAAUCUCGUUAUCGGCAAGUCUCUUUAUUGUUUUGUAAUACAAGAUCUUGUGACUAACUCCUUAGUCACAUUGCUUGCAAGCUUCUUUUGAUGUUGUAUUACUGAGAGGGCCCAGAGAUACAUCUUUGUCAUACAGAGUGACAAAUCCCAAUCUCGAUCCAUGCCAACCCAACACACACCCUCAAAGAUACCUGUAGAGCACCUUUAUGAUCACCCAGUUAUGAAGUGAUGUUUCAUGCACACAAGGCAUUCCUCCGAUGUCAGGGAGUUGCAUGAUCUCAUGGUCUUAGGAACAAAUACUUGACAUGAAGAAAGAAGUAGCAACAAACUAAGUGAUACAAUCAAAUGUCAUGCUUACGGUUGGGUCUUGUCCAUCACAUCAUUCUCCUAAUGAUGUGAUCCCCUUAUCAAAUGACAACUCAUGUAUAUGAUUAGGAAACCUUAAUCAUCUUUGAUCGACAAGCUAGUCUAGUAGAGGCUCACUAGGUACAAGGUGUUGUUUAUGUAUCCACACAUGUAUCUAAGUUUUAGGUCAAUACAAUUCUAGCAUGGAUAAUAAACGUUUAUCAUGAACAAUAAAAUAUGAUAAUAAACAAUUUAUUAUUGCCUCUAGGGCAUAUUUCCCACAUGAAGGAAGUAUUAUUUAUCUCCAAGGUUGUAAUUUAAGUUUAUGAUAUAUGCUACAAUUGCAAUGGUCCUUGAGACCGUAUAUCCAUAAAGGAUCAGAGGAAAACCCAUGUGCAUGUGAAGGUAAAAUGUAUUCCUAGUCGUGCCUCUAAGACUAGUUCAAGUGUUGCAUAAUGUUCACAUUUUAUUGAUCAUGGGCAUGAGUAUGUCGGAAACUUUGAGGACACAAUGUUAGAAUAACACUUCUUUUGAACCGUCCCAAUUGAUGAUAUGCUACGAGAUACAUUCGUCGCAAGUUAAUGGUUUAUAACACAAAGAAAUUUAGACGUUUGCAUAAUUUCUCUGACCAUGAGAGUAUCGAGCUCCUUCAUAUUUGCUUCAUGAACCUUGGGGUUUGUUAGAUGUUAUCUAUAACAGGGUGGCUAUUACAAUGGCUUACGGGUUCACGGAAAAGUAUGAUGAGGGACUAGAUACAUGAAGAUUGGUAUUUUUGUUGGGGAACGUCGCAUGGGAAACAAAAAAUUUCCUACGCGCACGAAGACCUAUCAUGGUGAUGUCCAUCUACGAGAGGGGAUGAGUGAUCUACGUACCCUUGUAGAUCGUACAGCAGAAGCGUUAGAGAACGCGGUUGAUGUAGUGGAACGUCCUCACGUCCCUCGAUCCACCCCGCGAACAAUCCCGCGAUCAGUCCCACGAUCUAGUACCGAACGGACGGCACCUCCGCGUUCAGCACACGUACAGCUCGACGAUGAUCUCGGCCUUCUUGAUCCAGCAAGAGAGACGGAGAGGUAGAAGAGUUCUCCGGCAGCGUGACGGCGCUCCGGAGGUUGGUGAUGACCUUGUCUCAGCAGGGCUCAGCCCGAGCUCCGCAGAAACGCGAUCUAGAGGAAAAACCGUGGAGGUAUGUGGUCGGGCAGCCGUGAGAAAGUCGUCUCAAAUCAGCCCUAAUUGCUCCAUAUAUAUAUAGGAGGAGGGAGGGGGGCCUUGCCUUGGGGUCCAAGGACCCCCAAGGAGUCGGCCGAGCCAAGGGGGGGACGACUCCCCCCCCAAACCGAGUUGGACUUGGUUUGGUGGGAGGAGUCCCCCUCCCUUCCCACCUCCUUCCCUUUUUUUUUCCUCUUGAUUUUUCUUCUCUUGGCGCAUUGGGCACUUGUGGGCUGUCCCACCAGCCCACUAAGGGCUGGUGUGGCUCCCCAAAUACCUAUGGGCUUCCCCGGGGUGGGUUGACCCCCCCCCCCCCCGGUGAACUCCCGGAACCCAUUCGUCAUUCCCGGUACAUUCCCGGUAACUCCGAAAACCUUCCGGUAAUCAAAUGAGGUCAUCCUAUAUAUCAAUCUUCGUUUCCGGACCAUUCCGGAAACCCUCGUGACGUCUGUGAUCUCAUCCGGGACUCCGAGCAACAUUCGGUAACCAACCAUAUAACUCAAAUACGCAUAAAACAACGUCGAACCUUAAGUGUGCAGACCCUGCGGGUUCGAGAACUAUGUAGACAUGACCCGAGAGACUCCUCGGUCAAUAUCCAAUAGCGGGACCUGGAUGCCCAUAUUGGAUCCUACAUAUUCUACGAAGAUCUUAUCGUUUGAACCUCAGUGCCAAGGAUUCGUAUAAUCCCGUAUGUCAUUCCCUUUGUCCUUCGGUAUGUUACUUGCCCGAGAUUCGAUCGUCAGUAUCCGCAUACCUAUUUCAAUCUCGUUUACCGGCAAUCUCUUUACUCGUUCCGUAAUACAAGAUCCCGCAACUUACACUAAGUUACAUUGCUUGCAAGGCUUAUGUGUGAUGUUGCAUUACCGAGUGGGCCCCGAGAUACCUCUCCGUCACACGGAGUAACAAAUCCCAGUCUUGAUCCAUACUAACUCAACUAACACCUUCGGAGAUACCUGUAGAGCAUCUUUAUAGUCACCCAGUUACGUUGCGACGUUUGAUACACACAAAGCAUUCCUCCGGUGUUAGUAAGUUAUAUGAUCUCAUGGUCAUAGGAAUAAAUACUUGACACGCAGAAAACAGUAGCAACAAAAUGACACGAUCAACAUGCUACGUCUAUUAGUUUGGGUCUAGUCCAUCACGUGAUUCUCCCAAUGACGUGAUCUAGUUAUCAAGCAACAACACCUUGUUCAUAAUCAGAAGACACUGACUAUCAUUGAUCAACUGGCUAGCCAACUAGAGGCAUGCUAGGGACGGUGUUUUGUCUAUGUAUCCACACAUGUAAAUGAGUCUUCAUUCAAUACAAUUAUAGCAUGGAUAAUAAACUACUAUCUUGAUACAGGAAUUAUAAUAAUAACUAUACAUUUAUUAUUGCCUCUAGGGCAUAAUUCCAACAGUCUCCCACUUGCACUAGAGUCAAUAAUCUAGCCCUCACAUCACCAUGUGAAUUACAUUGUAAUAAAUCUAACACCCAUACAGUUCUGGUGUUGAUCAUGUUUUGGCCGUGGAAGAGGUUUAGUCAGCGGGUCUGCUACAUUCAGAUCCGUGUGCACUUUGCAUAUAUUUACGUCCUCCUCCUCGACGUAGUCGCGGAUGAGGUUGAAGCGUCGUUUGAUGUGUCUGGUCUUCUUGUGAAACCUUGGUUCCUUUGCUAAGGCAAUGGCACCAGUGUUGUCACAGAACAAGGUUAUUGGAUCCAGUGCACUCGGCACCACUCCAAGAUCCGUCAUGAACUGCUUCAUCCAGACACCCUCCUUAGCCGCCUCCGAGGCAGCCAUGUACUCCGCUUCACAUGUAGAAUCUGCUACAACGCUUUGCUUGGAACUGCACCAGCUUGCUGCACCCCCAUUAAGAAUAAAUACGUAUCCGGUUUGCGACUUAGAGUCGUCCGGAUCUGUGUCAAAGCCAGCAUCGACGUAACCUUUUACGGCGAGCUCUUCGUCACCUCCAUACACGAGAAACAUCUCCUUAGUCCUUUUCAGGUACUUCAGGAUAUUCUUGACCGCUGUCCAGUGAUCCACUCCUGGAUUACUCUGGAACCUACCUGCCAUACUUAUGGACAGGCUAACAUCCGGUCUAGUGCACAGCAUCCCAUACAUGAUAGAACCUAUGGCGGAAGCAUAGGGGACGGAGCGCAUAUGCUCUCUAUCUUCAUCAGUUGCUGGGCACUGAGUCUUACUCAAUCUCGUACCUUGUAAAACUGGCAAGAACCCUUUCUUGGACUGUUCCAUUUUGAACCUCUUCAAAACUUUAUCAAGGUAUGUGCUUUGUGAAAGUCCUAUCAGGCGUUUUGAUCUAUCCCUAUAGAUCUUAAUGCCUAGAAUGUAAGCAGCUUCUCCUAGGUCCUUCAUAGAGAAACUUUUAUUCAAGUAACCUUUUAUGCUCUCCAAAAGCUCUACGUUGUUUCCAAUCAGUAAUAUGUAAUCCACAUAUAAUAUUAGAAACGCCACAGAGCUCCCACUCACUUUCUUGUAAAUACAAGAUUCUCCAACCACUUGUAUAAACCCAAAUGCUUUGAUCACCUCAUCAAAGCGUUUGUUCCAACUCCGAGAUGCUUGCACCAGUCCAUAAAUGGAUCGCUGGAGCUUGCACACCUUGUCAGCAUUUUUAGGAUCGACAAAACCUUCGGGUUGCAUCAUAUACAACUCUUCCUUAAGGAAACCGUUAAGGAAUGCCGUUUUCACAUCCAUCUGCCAGAUUUCAUAAUCGAAAAAUGCAGCUAUUGCUAACAUGAUUCUGACGGACUUAAGCAUCGCUACGGGUGAGAAAGUCUCAUCGUAGUCAACUCCUGGAACUUGUGAAAAACCCUUUGCCACAAGUCGAGCUUUAUAAACGGUCAUAUUACCGUCAGCGUCCGUCUUCUUCUUAAAGAUCCAUUUGUUCUGAAUAGCCUUGCGGCCCUCAGGUAGUAUCUCCAAAGUCCACACUUUGUUCUCAUACAUGGAUCCUAUCUCGGAUUUCAUGGCUUCUAGCCAUUUGUUGGAAUCUGGGCCCACCAUUGCUUCUUCAUAAUUUGCAGGUUCAUUGUUGUCUAACAACAUGAUUGACAAGACGGGAUUACCGUACCACUCUGGAGCAGCGCGUGAUCUCGUCGACCUGCGUGGUUCAACAGAAACUUGAACUGGAGUUUCAUGAUCAUCAUCAUUAACUUCCUCCUCAACCGGCGUCGCAACGACAGAGGUUUCCCCUUGCCCUGCGCCACCAUCCAGAGGGAUGAGAGGUUCGACAACCUCGUCAAGUUCUAUCUUCCUCCCACUCAAUUCUCUCGAGAGAAACUCCUUCUCGAGAAAAGCUCCGUUUUUAGCAACAAACACUUUGCCCUCGGAUUUGAGAUAGAAGGUGUACCCAACUGUCUCUUUUGGGUAACCUAUGAAGACGCACUUUUCCGCUUUGGGUUCCAGCUUUUCAGGCUGAAGCUUUUUGACAUAAGCAUCACAUCCCCAAACUUUAAGAAACGACAACUUUGGCCUUUUGCCAUACCACAGUUCGUAUGGUGUCGUCUCAACGGAUUUUGAUGGUGCCCUAUUUAAAGUGAAUGCAGCUGUUUCUAAUGCAUAACCCCAAAAUGAUAACGGCAAAUCAGUAAGAGACAUCAUAGAUCGCACCAUCUCUAACAAAGUACGAUUACGACGUUCGGACACACCAUUACACUGUGGUGUUCCAGGCGGUGUUAACUGCGAAACAAUUCCACAUUGUCUUAAGUGAGCACCAAACUCGAAACUCAGAUAUUCACCCCCACGAUCAGACCGUAGGAACUUGAUCUUCUUGUUACGAUGAUUUUCCACUUCACUCUGAAAUUGCUUGAACUUUUCGAAUGUUUCAGACUUGUGCUUCAUCAAGUAGACAUAACCAUAUCUACUUAAAUCGUCAGUGAAGGUGAGAAAAUAACGAUAUCCGCCGCGUGCCUCUACGCUCAUUGGACCACACACAUCGGUAUGUAUGAUUUCCAACAAGUCACUUGCACGCUCCAUUGUUCCGGAGAACGGAGUCUUAGUCAUCUUGCCCAUGAGGCAUGGUUCGCACGUGUCAAGUGAAUCAAAGUCAAGUGACUCCAAAAGUCCAUCAGCAUGGAGUUUCUUCAUGCGCUUUACACCAAUAUGACCCAAGCGACAGUGCCACAAAAAUAUGGCGCUAUCAUUGUUUACUCUAACUCUUUUGGUCUCAAUGUUAUGUAUAUGCGUAUCGCUAUCAAGAUUCAAUAUGAACAAUCCUCUCACAUUCGGUGCAUGACCAUAAAAGAUGUUACUCAUAGAAAUAGAACAACCAUUAUUCUCAGACUUGAAAGAGUAACUGUCUCGCAAUAAACAAGAUCCAGAUAUAAUGUUCAUGCUCAACGCAGGCACUAAAUAACAAUGAUUUAAGUUCAUCACUAAUCCCGAUGGUAGCUGAAGUGACACUGUGCCGACGGCGAUUGCAUCAACCUUGGAACCAUUUCCUACGCGCAUCGUCACUUCGUCUUUCGCCAGCCUUCGUCUAUUCCGUAGUUCCUGCUUCGAGUUGCAAAUGUGAGCAACGGAACCGGUAUCAAAUACCCAGGCACUACUACGAGAGCCGGUUAAGUACACAUCAAUAACAUGUAUAUCAAAUAUACCUGAUUUUUCUUUGCCCGCCCUCUUAUCUGCCAGAUACUUGGGGCAAUUGCGCUUCCAAUGACCCAUACCCUUGCAAUAGAAGCACGCUGUUUCAGGCUUAGGUCCAGCCUUGGGUUUCUUCGGCGGAUUGGCAACAGGCUUGCCGCUCUUCUUUGAAUUGCCCUUCUUGCCUUUGCCGUUUCUCUUGAAACUAGUGGUCUUGCUCACCAUCAACACUUGAUGCUCUUUACGGAGUUCAGACUUUGCGACUUUCAGCAUCGCAAACAACUCGCCGGGAGACUUGUUCAUCCCUUGCAUGUUGUAGUUCAACACAAAGCCUUUAUAGCUUGGCGGCAGUGGUUGAAGGAUUCUGUCAGUGAUAGCUUCUUGCGGGAGUUCAAUCCCCAGUUCAGCUAGACGGUUUGAGUACCCAGACAUUUUGAGCACAUAUUCACUGACAGACGAGUUUUCCUCCAUCUUGCAAGCAUAGAAUUUAUCGGAGGUCUCAUACCUCUCUAUCCGGGCGUUCUUCUGAAAGAUAAACUUCAACUCCUGGAACAUCUCAAAUGCUCCAUGACGCUCAAAGCGACGUUGAAGUCCCGGUUCUAAGCCAUACAAGACUGCACAUUGAACUAUUGAGUAGUCCUCCUUACGCGCUAACCAAGCGUUCUUAACAUCCUGAUCAGCCGUAGCGGGUGGUACAUCUCCUAGUGCAGCAUUAAGGACAUAAUCCUUCUUCCCAGCUUGUAAGAUUAGCUUAAGAUUACGAGCCCAGUCUACAAAGUUGCUUCCAUCAUCUUUCAACUUAGCUUUCUCUAGGAACGUAUUAAAAUUCAGGAUGACACUCGCGUGAGCCAUGAUCUACAACACAAAUAUAUUCAAAGUGGACUUAGACUAUGUUCAAGAUAAUUAGAGUUCAACUUAAUCAAAUUAUAUGCUAAACUCCCACUCAAAAAUACAUCUCUCUAGUCAUUUGAGUGGUUCAUGAUCCACUUACACUAUCCCAAGUCUGAUCAUCACGUGAGUUGAGUAUAGUUUCAGUGGUAAGCAUCCCUAUGCUAAUCAUAUCAACUAUAUGAUUCAUGAUCAAUCUUUCGGUCUCAUGUGUUCCGAGGCCAUGUCUGCACAUGCUAGGCUCGUCAAGCUUAACCCGAGUGUUCCGCGUGCGCAACUGUUUUGCACCCGUUGUAUGUGAACGUUGAGUCUAUCACACCCGAUCAUCACGUGGUGUCUCGAAACGACGAACUGUAGCAACGGUGCACAGUCGGGGAGAACACAAUUUCGUCUUGAAAUUUUAGUGAGAGAUCACCUCAUAAUGCUACCGUCGUUCUAAGCAAAAUAAGGUGCAUAAAAGGAUUAACAUCACAUGCAAUUCAUAAGUGACAUGAUAUAGCCAUCAUCACGUGCUUCUUGAUCUCCAUCACCAAAGCACCGGCACGAUUUUCUUGUCACCGGCGCCACACCAUGAUCAUCCAUCAACGUGUUGCCAUCGGGGUUGUCCUGCUACUUAUGCUAUUACUACUAAAGCUACAUCCUAGCAAAAUAGUAAACGCAUCUGCAAGCACAAACGUUAGUAUAAAGACAACCCUAUGGCUCCUGCCGGUUGCCGUACCAUCGACGUGCAAGUCGAUAUUUCUAUUACAACAUGAUCAUCUCAUACAUCCAAUAUAUCACAUCACAUCAUUGGCCAUAUCACAUCACAAUCAUACCCUGCAAAAACAAGUUAGACAUCCUCUAAUUUUGUUGUUGCAUGUUUUACGAGGUGACCAAGGGUAUCUAGUAGGAUCGCAUCUUACUUACGCAAACACCACAACGGAGAUAUAUGAGUUGCUAUUUAACCUCAUCCAAGGACCUCCUCGGUCAAAUCCGAUUCAACUAAAGUUGGAGAAACCGUCACUUGCCAGUCAUCUUUGAGCAAAGGGGGUUACUCGUAACGAUGAAACCAGUCUCUCGUAAGCGUACAAGUAAUGUCGGUCCAAGCCGCUUCAAUCCAACAAUACCGCGGAAUCAAGAAAAGACUAAGGAGGGCAGCAAAACGCACAUCACCGCCCACAAAAACUUUUGUGUUCUACUCGAGAAGACAUCUACGCAUGAACCUAGCUCAUGAUGCCACUGUUGGGGAACGUCGCAUGGGAAACAAAAAAUUUCCUACGCGCACGAAGACCUAUCAUGGUGAUGUCCAUCUACGAGAGGGGAUGAGUGAUCUACGUACCCUUGUAGAUCGUACAGCAGAAGCGUUAGAGAACGCGGUUGAUGUAGUGGAACGUCCUCACGUCCCUCGAUCCGCCCCGCGAACAAUCCCGCGAUCAGUCCCACGAUCUAGUACCGAACGGACGGCACCUCCGCGUUCAGCACACGUACAGCUCGACGAUGAUCUCGGCCUUCUUGAUCCAGCAAGAGAGACGGAGAGGUAGAAGAGUUCUCUGGCAGCGUGACGGCGCUCCGGAGGUUGGUGAUGACCUUGUCUCAGUAGGGCUCCGCCCGAGCUCCGCAGAAACGCGAUUUAGAGGAAAAACCGUGGAGGUAUGUGGUCGGGCAGCCGUGAGAAAGUCGUCUCAAAUCAGCCCUAAUUGCUCCAUAUAUAUAGGAGGAGGGAGGGGGGCCUUGCCUUGGGGUCCAAGGACCCCCAAGGAGUCGGCCGAGCCAAGGGGGGGAGGACUCCCCCCCCAAACCGAGUUGGACUUGGUUUGGUGGGAGGAGUCCCCCUCCCUUCCCACCUCCUUCCCUUUUUUUUUCUUUCCUCUUGAUUUUUCUUCUCUUGGCGCAUUGGGCACUUGUGGGCUGUCCCACCAGCCCACUAAGGGCUGGUGUGGCUCCCCAAAUACCUAUGGGCUUCCCCGGGGUGGGUUGACCCCCCCCCCCCCCCGGUCGAACUCCCGGAACCCAUUCGUCAUUCCCGGUACAUUCCCGGUAACUCCGAAAACCUUCCGGUAAUCAGAUGAGGUCAUCCUAUAUAUCAAUCUUCGUUUCCGGACCAUUCCGGAAACCCUCGUGACGUCUGUGAUCUCAUCCGGGACUCCGAACAACAUUCGGUAACCAACCAUAUAACUCAAAUACGCAUAAAACAACGUCGAACCUUAAGUGUGCAGACCCUGCGGGUUCGAGAACUAUGUAGACAUGACCCGAGAGACUCCUCGGUCAAUAUCCAAUAGCGGGACCUGGAUGCCCAUAUUGGAUCCUACAUAUUCUACGAAGAUCUUAUCGUUUGAACCUCAGUGCCAAGGAUUCGUAUAAUCCCGUAUGUCAUUCCCUUUGUCCUUCGGUAUGUUACUUGCCCGAGAUUCGAUCGUCAGUAUCCGCAUACCUAUUUCAAUCUCGUUUACCGGCAAGUCUCUUUACUCGUUCCGUAAUACAAGAUCCCGCAACUUACACUAAGUUACAUUGCUUGCAAGGCUUAUGUGUGAUGUUGCAUUACCGAGUGGGCCCCGAGAUACCUCUCCGUCACACGGAGUAACAAAUCCCAGUCUUGAUCCAUACUAACUCAACUAACACCUUCGGAGAUACCUGUAGAGCAUCUUUAUAGUCACCCAGUUACGUUGCGACGUUUGAUACACACAAAGCAUUCCUCCGGUGUUAGUAAGUUAUAUGAUCUCAUGGUCAUAGGAAUAAAUACUUGACACGCAGAAAAUAGUAGCAACAAAAUGACACGAUCAACAUGCUACGUCUAUUAGUUUGGGUCUAGUCCAUCACGUGAUUCUCCCAAUGACGUGAUCUAGUUAUCAAGCAACAACACCUUGUUCAUAAUCAGAAGACACUGACUAUCAUUGAUCAACUGGCUAGCCAACUAGAGGCAUGCUAGGGACGGUGUUUUGUCUAUGUAUCCACACAUGUAAAUGAGUCUUCAUUCAAUACAAUUAUAGCAUGGAUAAUAAACUACUAUCUUGAUACAGGAAUUAUAAUAAUAACUAUACAUUUAUUAUUGCCUCUAGGGCAUAAUUCCAACAAUUUUAUCCUCCUACGAUGGAGGGAUAUUCUUGGGCCUUCUCGGUGUUACGAUAUCCAUCAUCAUGUGGCUAGACAUAGUGUGAUUUGAUCACAGGGAUACCAGAAUGCGGAAACAAGAACAGAGAAGAAAACUAGUAAUAAGGAGACUGGCAUAGUAAACAAGUUGUUGACUCACGGGGAUGCUGAUAAAUCUCACCACGGGUAUUUGUAACAUAUCACGAAGCAACACGAAGAACAUACGAUAACUAAAGGUUCACCCGAAUAUUUAUUCGUGUGGGUAUAGGGGUCAAUAUGGAUGUCCAUGGUUCCGCUAUUGACCAUUGAUCAGAAGGCGUUCCGGUCAUGUGUAUACUCCACCGAAUCUACAGUAUCACACAUUAACAGUCAUCUAUGUACUAAGUACUAGAUAGGGAGUGUGAGAAAUUCACCCGAAGACACCAAAAAUGUUUCGAGGAUAAAACCAGAAGUGUUUCGGAGAAACCGGCAAGUUGUUUCAGAAAAUACCAUCAUAUAGGAAAUAUUUCAGAACGCGUCCAGAAUUUUCGAGGGUGCCAAAAAGUUCAGGGACCUUCUGGAAUUUUCAUGGUGAGAACGCAUGCGUAAAACAUCUUGUCCAAGUGAAAAGGGACAAGAUCCCAUGAAUCAUGAGAGUGUUUUAUGGGGGCGUCCCCUUUGGUGGGUUGCUUUGUGGAGGGGAGGGACGAUUUUGGCCUUCAUCCUCAUGCUCCCUCCACCCCUUGCUCACACUAUAAAUGAAGAUGAAGAGGGCUCUCCAUAUCACUCAAGUUUCUCACCACAAAGGCAUGCAAUGAUUUAUCAUUCUUUCUCUCCCUCCAUGAAAUAGUUUCGUAGUGCCGAAAGAUUGUCUGGUUUGCGGUAGGGAUUAGUUCUGAACAAUGAAUCCCUACUGGAUAGGUGACAUUGGAUGUGUGCAAUCCAUUACAGAGGUCGUCGUCCGAUCUUCGGUUCGAUGCAUGUCCAAGGAAGAGUUCGAGGGAGAACAUCCGUGCAGUUGGGAGUUGUAAAAUCCUAUCUGCGGGGAUCUGCACCGACACCGACUCUACUUUCGCUGCACUAUGAGUUGAUAAUGAUCAAAUCAAACCUUAUUUGCAUCUUCAUAGUGAUCUUGGGCAUGUUCAUAAUUCAUUUUUUUAUUUUCUAUUGCAUUUCCCUACACAUUAUUGGUCCUUUUUCAAGCUCCAGAGGUAGGGGCCCCCAAGAGCCCCGAAGACCACAUUGUCCUCGAUAAGCUCAUUGAAUUAUAACCUCAAGUUUCAUGGGACGAGUGUAACAAAAAACAAAACAUUGAUGAAAAAGUAAUAGAAACAAAAGGAAAUAACUAACAUUUCAUGUUAGAAAAUAGGUAUGUUACCAUUGAAGCGCAAAACACUAUCGGAAAUAGAUGCGGAACAACGAGUCAGCUUGUGAGGCUUGUGGCGCACCAUGACUUGCAUUGUUGACAUGGCACCAUUUUCCUAUUAGACAAGAAAUUACAAGGGAUAAAUAUCAAUCAAAAGAAAUAGACUAGGCUAAAAAAAAUCAACACAAAAGCCUAUCAUGGGAUCGGAUUCUACACUAUUAAAAUUGAAUCCUACACUAAGCAUAUCAAUCAAUCAGAUUCUACACUUCUAAAUUCUACAGUGCAAUAAUUAGAUUCUACAUAAAGAAAUCUAAUCUACACAAAAGAAAUCGGAUUCUACACUAAGAACUAAAAUUCUCCACAUACAAAAUCGGAUUCUACACUACUAAAAUUUCUACGCAAAGAAAUCUGAUCCAUGGUUAGGGUUUCUAAUCUACAAAAUAAAAUCUACUUUACUAAACAAAUUACACGAAACAAUCUAGUCUACAAAAAAUCAACACAAAAGCCUAAAAUCGGAUUCCAUAAGGAAACUAAAAUUGAAUUCUACACUACUUACAUUCUACAUAAAUCAACCUAAUCCAUGGAUUACAUGGGGGCCGUGUGCGAGGGAAACGCUAGGGGGGGAGGGAGAGAUGCAAGGCGAGGGGGUCAAACUUGUUGUCGAGGUGACCCUCUUCGGCGGUGUGGCGAUGUGUCUGUAGAUCCAUCGACGACGAGCGAUAAGGUCUCGGAGGCGGCGACGGGGACGACGGCGAGGCGGGGUUGAUGGGGAUGGUGUGGAGUGGGUGGGUGCGAGUCGGG
This 14990-nucleotide long non-coding RNA is filed under the name Hordeum vulgare. RNAcentral's name for it is "long non-coding RNA (HVUL_LNC007646)". The record is from RNAcentral. Lineage: Eukaryota; Viridiplantae; Streptophyta; Magnoliopsida; Poales; Poaceae.